Molecule: long non-coding RNA, 693 nt
Organism: Prionailurus viverrinus (fishing cat)
Lineage: Eukaryota; Metazoa; Chordata; Mammalia; Carnivora; Felidae
Exons: 4
Source: RefSeq, a predicted model, not a curated record
CUGCUGUCCCCUGGUGGCCACUCCACACUGACUCUGGGAGGCUCGGGGAACUCCUUUGUCCAGGUGAUGAAGAACCCACAGCUCAGAACCUGAUUCGCUGAUCCCUUGACUGCUGGCUCCAGAGGAGGAAUUGCUCUUUUCUCCAAUGCCCUGUCAGCCUCAAGACCAGGCAGGAGGAGAUCAGAUUAUCCAUGAAAACAAGAACAGGCUCAUCUGAGGAAGACAAGGGACUCCUAAUUGACAAACCAGUGGUGAGAUCAGAACAUGUGACUGAAGAGGAAGACGGUAGCCUCCAGCAUCCUGCAAUCAGCUAUCAGGUCUCACAUCCGGAUGGCCAACCCUUCCUGGGUGAUAGAUAGAAGCCCUGAUGCCAGGCUCACCCCAUCUGCAGGUGCUUUGCCAGUUGAUCUCUGCUGUCCCCUGGUGGCCACUCCACACUGACUCUGGGAGGCUCGGGGAACUCCUUUGUCCAGGUGAUGAAGAACCCACAGCUCAGAACCUGAUUCGCUGAUCCCUUGACUGCUGGCUCCAGAGGAGGAAUUGCUCUUUUCUCCAAUGCCCUGUCAGCCUCAAGACCAGGCAGGAGGAGAUCAGAUUAUCCAUGAAAACAAGAACAGGCUCAUCUGAGGAAGACAAGCGGGCUCCAGAGGGCGCACGAGGACAUUUGGCCGCGCUUCCGUGCCAUCUACGAGG